This 568-nucleotide ribosomal RNA is filed under the name uncultured archaeon. Its description in RNAcentral is "bacterial SSU rRNA". It matches the Rfam family "Archaeal small subunit ribosomal RNA", at positions 25 to 595 of the family's 1478-position model. The record is from RNAcentral.
UACUGCUAUCGGUGUUCGACUAAGCCAUGCUAGUUAAAUGUUCUUCGUGAACAUAGCGGACUGCUCAGUAACACGUGGACAAUCUGCCCUUGGGUUCAGCAUAACCCCGGGAAACUGGGGAUAAUUCUGAAUAGAUCACAUAUGCUGGAAUGCUUUGUGAUUAAAAGAUCCGUCGCCCAAGGAUGGGUCUGCGGCCUAUCAAGUUGUAGUGGGUCUAGAGUACCUACUAGCCAACGACGGGUACGGGUUGUGAGAGCAAGAGCCCGGAGAUGGAUUCUGAGACAUUAAUCCAGGCCCUACGGGGCGCAGCAGGCGCGAAACCUUUACACUGCGGGAAACCGCGAUAAGGGGACACCGAGUGCCAGCAUACAAUGCUGGCUGUCCACAUGUGUAAAUAGCAUGUGAUAGCAAGGGCCGGGCAAGACCGGUGCCAGCCGCCGCGGUAACACCGGCGGCCCGAGUGGUAAUCACUAUUAUUGGGUCUAAAGGGUCCGUAGCCGGUUUAAUCAGUCUUCCGGGAAAUCUGACAGCUCAACUGUUAGGCUACCGGGGGAUACUGUUAGACUUG